GGCCUACCAUGGUGGUAACGGGUAACGGGGUGUUAGGGCACGACACCGGAGAGGGAGCCUGAGAAACGGCUACCACAUCCAAGGAUGGCAGCAGGCGCGCAAAUUACCCAAUCCCGACACGGGGAGGUAGUGACAAUAAAUAACAAUACGGGGCUCUUUAGGGUCUCGUAAUUGGAAUGAGUACAAUUUAAAUCUCUUAACGAGGAACAAUUGGAGGGCAAGUCUGGUGCCAGCAGCCGCGGUAAUUCCAGCUCCAAUAGCGUAUAUUAAAGUUGUUGCAGUUAAAAAGCUCGUAGUUGAAUUUCGGGGUCAGCAGGUUGGUCGUGCCACUGGUAUGCACUGGUUUCGCUGAUUCCUCCUUUCUGAAGAACUGUAAUGCCAUUAAUUUGGUGUUGCAGGGAAACAGGACCGUUACUUUGAAAAAAUUAGAGUGUUUAAAGCAGGCUAACGCUUGAAUACAUUAGCAUGGAAUAAUGAAAUAGGACGUUUGAUCCUAUUUUGUUGGUUUCUAGGAUUGACGUAAUGAUUAAUAGGGAUAGUUGGGGGUAUUAGUAUUCAAUUGUCAGAGGUGAAAUUCUUGGAUUUAUUGAAGACUAACUACUGCGAAAGCAUUUGCCAAGGAUGUUUUCAUUAAUCAAGAACGAAAGUUAGGGGAUCGAAGACGAUCAGAUACCGUCGUAGUCUUAACCAUAAACUAUGCCGACUAGGGAUCGGAUGAUGUUAAUUUUUUAAUGACUCAUUCGGCGCCUUACG
RNAcentral lists this ribosomal RNA (753 nucleotides) under uncultured Glomus. Its description in RNAcentral is "SSU rRNA". It matches the Rfam family "Eukaryotic small subunit ribosomal RNA", at positions 338 to 1092 of the family's 1831-position model. The record is from RNAcentral. Lineage: Eukaryota; Fungi; Glomeromycota; Glomeromycetes; Glomerales; Glomeraceae.